GGUUUAAUUUUCCGCAAUGGGCGAAAGCCUGACGGAGCAAUACCGCGUGCGGGACGAAGGCUUUUGGGUCGUAAACCGCUUUUGUUAGGGAAGAAUACAAUGACGGUACCUAACGAAUCAGCAUCGGCUAACUCCGUGCCAGCAGCCGCGGUAAUACGGGGGAUGCAAGCGUUAUCCGGAAUUAUUGGGCGUAAAGCGUCCGCAGGUGGUUUAUCAAGUCUGCUGUCAAAUCGUAGGGCUUAACCCUAUAAAGGCAGUGGAAACUGAGAGACUAGAGUACGGUAGGGGUAGCGGGAAUUCCCAGUGUAGCGGUGAAAUGCGUAGAUAUUGGGAAGAACACCAGCGGCGAAGGCGCGCUACUGGGCCGAAACUGACACUCAUGGACGAAAGCUAGGGGAGCGAAAGGGAUUAGAUACCCCUGUAGUCCUAGCUGUAAACGAUGACAACUAGGUGUUGCGCGUAUCGACCCGUGCAGUGCCGUAGCUAACGCGUUAGGUUGU
This 500-nucleotide ribosomal RNA is filed under the name uncultured cyanobacterium. Its description in RNAcentral is "bacterial SSU rRNA". It matches the Rfam family "Bacterial small subunit ribosomal RNA", at positions 355 to 868 of the family's 1533-position model. The record is from RNAcentral. Lineage: Bacteria; Bacillati; Cyanobacteriota.